RNAcentral lists this long non-coding RNA (3281 nucleotides) under Medicago truncatula (barrel medic). Its description in RNAcentral is "long non-coding RNA (MTRU_LNC004333)". The record is from RNAcentral. Lineage: Eukaryota; Viridiplantae; Streptophyta; Magnoliopsida; Fabales; Fabaceae.
GGUCGUGGAGUUGGGCCUUGACAAAAAGAUCCAAUCUUAACAAAUGCAUAAACGCUUUUUCUUUUGCCACCCUUAUACUUCUCGCAUGCAGUCUGCAUUUUCUAUUUUACUCCUUUUUCAAAUACUAUAUUUUGAAAAGGAAAAAAAAAAGCAUGCUGUAAAUUAUAUAAUUUAAAAUAUUCCAAUAUACAAGCCUUUCCCAGCCUCUUCCUCUUAUUUUUAUAUUAAUUGUUUUCUCUAAAGAAUACUAUAAAUCUCAAUGACCACGAGACAAUCAACUUUGAUGUGAAAUUUAUUUUACAACAACAAGCCAAAAAAAUAAACGAGUUUCUACCUUCUUUUCUUUUCCAACUUCCACAUUAAUAUCGGUAUACUGACUUAUUGGCUCUACAUCAAACCAACUACCUGAAGCAGAAUGCCAUCAAUUACAAAGAAAGGUAAUUUUUAUAAUUAUUUUAUGUUUUAACUCUCUUGUUUGUGGAUCUUGCCCUACUUUAACUUUUGGUUCUCAUUCCCUCUAUUAAGACAAACAACCAGUCAUGGUUAACUUAGAACAUGAAGAUGAAGAACAAAAGCAAUUGACUUCAAAGAAAAUAAACAGAUAAAGUGGUUCUCAAAUCAAUGAACCCUCCAAUCAAACGGCAUCCAAAAUUAGUAAAAGACAGUCAACUGAAGUUGCCCUAACAUCAAAGGUUACUUUAUUCUAGAAAGAGUCAAUUGUUCUAAAUUUCUUUCUCAAAAUUGUGUCCCUAAAUUUUAUGUAACCCUAAUUUCUAAUCUAAAUUCACCGUUUUAACAUGAAUUAACCAUUAUCAAACUGUGGAAACGAAAGUGGAGGGUUUGAUAAUUGUUAAUUCAUCAUCUCAAAUAUCAAUUCAUAAAACGAAAGUGGAGUUUUGAUAUUCGAACAAGUGAAUUUAGACAAGGAUUGCAAAGGCAGCGAAAUAGUCUUUGCAAUCCUUGAGACAUAUAAGUUUCAAACUUCAAGGAUUCUAAUAGUAAUCAAGUCAUCGAAAUAGGCUUGGUUGCUAGAGGAACCAAAAUCUAAUAGUAAUCAAGUCAGAGAAAUAGGCUUGAUUGCUAGAGGAACAUAAGAGAAACUUAUCUUUAGAAGUUAGGUCUAACAUAAGGUUCUAGGUUUAAUAGUUUGGUUUGUGAUGGGUUUGUCAUUAUGACAAACCAAUAAUCUCAAGGCGCCUUUUUAUUAUUAUUGUUAAUUUCAUUCAGUUAAAAAUCAAAACUUUAUAAUCUCAAACUCUCAUCUAAUCAUUAUUUAAAGUUAAUUGAAUUCAUAACUCCCUGUCGAAAUGAUACUCAUCUUUUUACUACUUCGGUAGAACGGUGCACUUGCGGUUUUAUCUCAUCAGUUAGUUCGACUUCGAAGCUUGAAGCAUCUAAAACUCAUAGAUUUCAAGAGUAAGGUUCGCCUCUUCCGAAUCAACCGCUUUCAUGGAAAUUCUCUCACCGACAAGCUCAACCAUUAACCCUUAAUUUAUUUAUUUUGGAUUUAUUUAGAAUAUUUUAUGUGAUUUUAAAUAAUAUGUGUGAUUUAUGUGGUGUGUAUUAUUUUAUUAUAUGAUUUAUUUUAAUAUAAUGAGAAUAUUAUAAGAAAUAGAAUUAUUUUGGAGUUUGGGGAGUUAAUUAGGAUUUAAUAAAAAUUAAGGGAGUUUAAUGAAAUAAAGGAGGAGUUAUAGUUUUGGGAGUUAGGAAAAGAAAGAGUCAGAAUCAGUUUUUACGUGAAACAAGUUUUGGAGAGGAAAACCAAGAACAAGAGAGAAGAGCCUAGGAACCGAUUUUGCUGUGCAAUCUUUCUGCAAAUCUAAGGUGAGGGUGAGACUAUCUCUCAAUAAUCAUAGUAUAUAAUUUCUGAAAAUUGUUUUAACAUGAAUUGUUCUUGAGAUAAAAAUUGGGAAUUAGGGUUCUAUACUGAUUUUGAAGGGAAAGUGUAGGAAUCAUGUUAAUGUGUUUAGUUUUCGUAUUCAGAAUGAUUUCUUGAUCUAUAAUGUUGUUGUGAUCAGAAUUUUGAAUGAAAUUAGAAUUUGUUGGAUAAAUUGGAGAAGUUUUGUAUGAUUGCUAGAAUGAUCUGAAUUGUUGUUGUUGAUGCCUGUUUUGUGUUCCUUUAGAUGUCUAGUUGUGUAAUGAACCUGUAAACAUCUGUUGGAAAACGUUUUGGGUGAUCAGGGGAUUAAAAUUAGGUUUUUGGAGUGAGAAGAGGUUGAACCCGUAGAUUUUUGCACUGCCCAGAUGAAUGGUCGCUUAAGCGAACGACCCGUCGCUUAAGCGAGCAUUCAAGCAAGCUGCCCAGAAUUCGAUUUUGUCAGUUCGCUUAAGUGAACAGUGAGCGAGCCUGUAAGCGAAAAAUCAUUUUCAUUCUUCCAGAAGUUCGCUCAAGCGAACCGUUAGCGAGCGGAACCCAAACUUUCUGUGAGCCGGUCGCUUAAGCGAAGAUGACCUUAGUCAGCCACUUUUUGAACCUUGCCUCGUGCACUAGGGGAUCCUUUUGAGCAUUUUUAAAUGUUCCUUUCAACUUGUAAGACCAUUAUAUAUACCCUGAAUCCUACUGAACACAUUGUUAAUCGAGUUGGUUUAAUUUAAUGAAAUUUCGGAUUGGAGUUGGAGUGAGUAUGAAACCAAGCGAAAAUAUAUUAUGUUGAAUGAACUUGAUGUAUUAGUAUGAUUGCUAUUAAUUAUACAGUUUUCUGAUGUUGGAUUGGUUGUGAUGAAGUUGUCGAAUUAUGAAGUCGUAUGUCAUAUAUACACAUAUGCAUUGUCGAGUUGUAUGUAGAUAUACACAAGUGGAGUCGGUUGCAUAAGCAUAAAAGCGGGAGGGUUUCGGCCCUGGAACGCCUUGUCGUUUAAAGCGGUGGAACACUUUGUUGUUCAAAGCGGUGUUUAGCGGUGAUGACUUAUGUCCUGAAAAGAAUGCUUUAACCAUUCGAAUAGCGGUGAGGGCUCCGGCCCUGAAUAUGGUACCACAUGCAUAUUGCAUUUGUCGAGGAGUCUUAGUAAUGUUGUCAUGCCAUUACAUGAGUCGUUGUUGUUGAUUGUAUUGUUGUAUUAUUGAUGAUGUUGUUGAUUAUGAAAUAUUUAUGCAUAUUGAAUAAUCAUUGAUAUGUUGGGGUGUAAGAUUCAAUUGAUGUUAUUAUAUAUUAUUAUUAUUGUUUGUGAAUCUCACCCCUUCUGCUUGAAAAUGUUGUCCUUCCUAUGGGUAACUUGCAGGUGAUUCUGAGUAGUAGGUGGUGGCUCAAAGUGUCUAGGGCUCUGAUACGUGGGAUGAGAUU